Molecule: ribosomal RNA, 408 nt
Filed under: uncultured bacterium
Lineage: Bacteria
Description: partial 16S ribosomal RNA
Rfam family: Bacterial small subunit ribosomal RNA
Source: RNAcentral
AGUGAACGCUGGCGGCGUGCCUAAUACAUGCCAGUCGAACGAAGUGGCGCACGGGUGAGUAAUAUAUAGUUAAUCUGCCCUACACAGAUGAACAACAGUUGGAAACGACUGCUAAUACCUCAUAUUGUAGGAUGAGACUAUAUCGUAUCAGCUAGUUGGUAAGGUAAUGGCUUACCAAGGCUAUGACGCGGAACUGGUCUGAGAGGAUUAUCAGUUACAUUGUAACUGAGAAACGGGCCAAACUCAUACGGGAGGCAGCAGUAAGGAAGAUUGCGCAAUGGGGGAAACCCUGACGCAGCAACGCCGCGUGGAGGAUGAAACUUUUCGGAGCGUAAACUCCUUUUAGCAGGAAAGCGGGACCUGAUGAAUAAGCACCGGCUAACUCCGUGCCAGCAGCCGCGGUAAUUC